This 499-nucleotide ribosomal RNA is filed under the name Lactiplantibacillus plantarum. RNAcentral describes it as "bacterial SSU rRNA". It matches the Rfam family "Bacterial small subunit ribosomal RNA", at positions 91 to 576 of the family's 1533-position model. The record is from RNAcentral. Lineage: Bacteria; Bacillati; Bacillota; Bacilli; Lactobacillales; Lactobacillaceae.
GUGAGUGGCGAACUGGUGAGUAACACGUGGGAAACCUGCCCAGAAGCGGGGGAUAACACCUGGAAACAGAUGCUAAUACCGCAUAACAACUUGGACCGCAUGGUCCGAGCUUGAAAGAUGGCUUCGGCUAUCACUUUUGGAUGGUCCCGCGGCGUAUUAGCUAGAUGGUGGGGUAACGGCUCACCAUGGCAAUGAUACGUAGCCGACCUGAGAGGGUAAUCGGCCACAUUGGGACUGAGACACGGCCCAAACUCCUACGGGAGGCAGCAGUAGGGAAUCUUCCACAAUGGACGAAAGUCUGAUGGAGCAACGCCGCGUGAGUGAAGAAGGGUUUCGGCUCGUAAAACUCUGUUGUUAAAGAAGAACAUAUCUGAGAGUAACUGUUCAGGUAUUGACGGUAUUUAACCAGAAAGCCACGGCUAACUACGUGCCAGCAGCCGCGGUAAUACGUAGGUGGCAAGCGUUGUCCGGAUUUAUUGGGCGUAAAGCGAGCGCAGGC